UGCGUAGGCGGUUUGAUAAGUCAGUUGUGAGAUUCCCCGGCUUAACCGGCGGGACUGCGAUUGAUACUGUCAAACUUGAAUCAGGUUGAGGUAGGCGGAAUGUGGCAUGUAGCGGUGAAAUGCAUAGAUAUGCCAUAGAACACCGAUUGCGAAGGCAGCUUGCUGGACCUUGAUUGACGCUGAGGCACGAAAGCGUGGGGAGCGAACAGGAUUAGAUACCCUGGUAGUCC
RNAcentral lists this ribosomal RNA (230 nucleotides) under uncultured bacterium. RNAcentral's name for it is "partial 16S ribosomal RNA". It matches the Rfam family "Bacterial small subunit ribosomal RNA", at positions 568 to 796 of the family's 1533-position model. The record is from RNAcentral.